CACAGACUACAUAAUAUUAAAAAUAUCUUUGGCAACUUAUUUGGAAAUUGAGAUUGAGGAUUAGGAUAGAAAAAAAUUUAUGAUAAAACUAAAUAGAUUUUUUUGCUUUUUAAUCAAUACGACGAUGAGAGAAUGAAAGAUUUUCUUUUCUUUCGUGGAGAUGAUGCCUCAAGUACCCACGCGUAUUUUCUUUCUUCCGUGAAGAAAACAUCUCAACUACCUACCCCACAC
Molecule: long non-coding RNA, 231 nt
Filed under: Elaeis guineensis (African oil palm)
Lineage: Eukaryota; Viridiplantae; Streptophyta; Magnoliopsida; Arecales; Arecaceae
Description: long non-coding RNA (EGUI_LNC011466)
Source: RNAcentral